Brassica napus (rape) is the source of this 1729-nucleotide long non-coding RNA. RefSeq lists it as uncharacterized. The record is from RefSeq and is a predicted model, not a curated record. The transcript is spliced from 2 exons. Lineage: Eukaryota; Viridiplantae; Streptophyta; Magnoliopsida; Brassicales; Brassicaceae.
AAAAAAGCUUAUCAAAACACGCACAAUCACAUUGCUUAUGUUAUUUGAAUCACAAUAAUGAUAACUAAUUCAGCAUUUUCGUAUGCGAGACUAAUUUCGUUUGCACCUAUCAAUUUGAAAGUUGAAGAAGUGUCAAUAAGUUCUCUCUUCACAAGAGAAAACAACUCGAGAAACAAUUCAUCAUCAUUUUUGUAACAACAAGAUAAGUAAUAACACCAAUUUCGUUUUUAUAUAUGUAUUAUACAAUAUGUUUGUAUGCAAGACAUGUGCCUAAUGCAUGUUUUAAAAAUGAACAAAAGACGUAAUAUUAAGAUUCUUAUCAACUACGUUUAUUAGGAUACACACAAAAAAACAAGGAAUUGGAAAAACUCAAUAAUACAAAUUCAGUCAAAAUAACAAGGUUUAAUUCAAUAUUUGCUCCAUUGUGUUUUACUCUUAAAAUUAUUUAUAAAUCCACUCAAAUCUAAGUUAAAAUCAAAUCUUUAAAGAAAUCAUUAAUAUUGAAUAACACAUGAUUUUAAAAUUCAUUUUUUAAUAGAACCAAUAACAACAGAUUUGAAAUUGGAUUUUAAAAUGAUAAAACCAAUAAUACUUGAUUUGACUUGGAUUUUAAAAUCCAUUAAAACACUUAAACCAAAUAGAAACGUAUGUUUGUAAACACAUGCAUAGUAACACAUGCAUAGUGAUGAUAUGUUCGUUUAACACGUGUCAUACCGAACAUUUCACGUUAAACAUCUUUGUUAAUUACACAGCAAGAAACAGGAAAAAUAGGUAAACCAUACGCAGCGGGGAUGAACUGAACACGUCGUGAUUAAUAAUAUUAACAAAGCUAGUUAAAUUUUUAAAUUUUAGUUACAAGUUACACGAAGAAAAAGCAGUUGGUGGACCAGCAUGGCAGCAUCGGACUUUGACUUUUCUUCAGACAUCGCUCUUAGACGAGAGUGAUAAUUGUCGAUUUGCCAAACAAUUUGUACAAAAACAAACAAGAUCGAAAGGACAAAGCUUUUUGCUCCUUUUUUCAACUUUUCUUGGUUCUGUUUUGUUCUCUUUGGUUCUAUUCCCCUCAGUGAAUCUUUCUAGCUGCGAUAUAUAUAUAUUUUUUUGGAUUUUCUUAUCCGGUACGGGAUUUCCGGUUCAUCUUCUAUCGUCAUUUGCUGUUGCCUAAAUCUUAUGGGAAACUGAGCAGAUUCGUGUCCUAGCAUCAUCUCCUUUGACUCGUUUUAUCUCCUAUGCAAAGUCUUUUUUUUUUACAAUCUCAGGGGAUGCGCUAUUUGCGUUGAGGGAUUUAGUUACGUGCAUUGCCUAAUCAACUCAGUGACUGGAAUCAGAAUCAAGUGAAUCCUUGCAUUUGGUCCCAAGUCAUUUCUGAUGACAAAAACUUUGUCACUUCUCUGUUCGCCUAAAGACAGACUAGUGAUGUCUGAAGUUUCACGGAUGUUAGAAGGAGAAGGGCUUGCAGAGAGAGAUGGGAAGAGUGGUAAAAAGUGGAAAUCACGAGAUGUCAUGAGUUCGAGAGGUUGCAGAGGAGGUUUGAUUGGGGUGAAGAUUCUAGAAGUAUUGUUCUUCUAUCAAACCAUUUAAGAAAGAUGACCAAAUAUCAAAUCUUGAUUUUACUGGAAAGUUGUAUACAUUGGCUAUCUUUGACUUGAAUCCUGUGAAAGAGAAUGGCCCUAAUGUUUGAUUGUUGCCUGUUCUUUGAACAUAAUUUAUUUGACUUUUUUUGUUGACU